This 253-nucleotide ribosomal RNA is filed under the name uncultured bacterium. Its description in RNAcentral is "partial 16S ribosomal RNA". It matches the Rfam family "Bacterial small subunit ribosomal RNA", at positions 524 to 776 of the family's 1533-position model. The record is from RNAcentral.
UACGAAGGGGGCUAGCGUUGCUCGGAAUCACUGGGCGUAAAGGGCGCGUAGGCGGCCAUUCAAGUCGGAGGUGAAAGCCCAGGGCUCAACCCUGGAAUUGCCUUCGAUACUGUCUGGCUAGAGACCGGAAGAGGUAAGUGGAACUGCGAGUGUAGAGGUGAAAUUCGUAGAUAUUCGCAAGAACACCAGUGGCGAAGGCGGCUCACUGGCCCGGUACUGACGCUGAGGCACGAAAGCGUGGGGAGCAAACAGG